Non-coding RNA from Musa acuminata subsp. malaccensis (wild Malaysian banana), 787 nucleotides. Lineage: Eukaryota; Viridiplantae; Streptophyta; Magnoliopsida; Zingiberales; Musaceae. The record is from RefSeq and is a predicted model, not a curated record.
GCCAUGAUGUGACUUCAGGUAACCAGAUUCAAUGUCUCGAGUCCCCACUGGGCCACCCUCUCCACGGAGCAAUCACUGCACUGCCACCAUUGCACCUCAGACCAUAAACGUGCCAGUAUGAUUUGUUAUCCUUUCAUCCGUCUCGCAGACUGAGCUUGUGGCGUCAGUGGUGAGGUCAGUGGUAGUCCCUGCACUCCAUGGUUUUCGUUUUCCUUGCUAAAGAAAGCCAUCGUGAUUCUUAUCUGCAAUAGUUUUCUUCUGGUGGACAGGACAUCAUGUGAAGGAAAAGAAGUGUGGAAACGACAGCCAUCCCUUCCACCACCACCCACCAGCAGGCAAGGGUAUAGCUCCUCUAUAUAGAGCCUCCCCCCACCCCUGCUGGCUCUCAACACUCACACCACUAGUGGCUUAACUCAACUGAGAAAAGAGAGAAAAAACAAAGAGGAGGAAGAUGGAAGGAAGAAGGAACAGAGGAGUGAUGCUAAGUGGAGGGAGGAGCUACUACAGCAGCCGUCGGCCGAUCCCCAGACGGGGCAAGGUGAAGGCCUCCAUCGCCAUCGGCCUCGCCCAGUCCCUCGCAGCUCUCUUCUCCCUCGCUGUUGGCCGCCUCGCCUAGAUCAAAUCAUGGCAUGGCUAUUCAUGCUUGAUGAUACGCACCCUGGGGCUCAAAACAUCCUUCUUUUGUUCUCCCGUCCUCUUUGUAGUCAGCUCCCCAAACCCAGAUUUUUGUUUGGGUGUCAUGUAAAUUAACCUUGUGAAUACAAUGAGAAUCAAGUUUUGUCCAUCA